GGUUAAGCGACUAAGCGUACACGGUGGAUGCCCUGGCAGUCAGAGGCGAUGAAGGACGUGCUAAUCUGCGAUAAGCGUCGGUAAGGUGAUAUGAACCGUUAUAACCGGCGAUUUCCGAAUGGGGAAACCCAGUGUGUUUCGACACACUAUCAUUACGUGAAUACAUAGCGUAAUGAAGCGAACCGGGGGAACUGAAACAUCUAAGUACCCCGAGGAAAAGAAAUCAACCGAGAUUCCCCCAGUAGCGGCGAGCGAACGGGGAGCAGCCCAGAGUCUGAAUCAGCUUGUGUGUUAGUGGAACGGUCUGGAAAGUCCGACGGUACAGGGUGAUAGUCCCGUACACCAAAAUGCACAGGUUGUGAACUCGAAGAGUAGGGCGGGACACGUGGUAUCCUGUCUGAAUAUGGGGGGACCAUCCUCCAAGGCUAAAUACUCCUGACUGACCGAUAGUGAACCAGUACCGUGAGGGAAAGGCGAAAAGAACCCCGGCGAGGGGAGUGAAAAAGAACCUGAAACCGUGUACGUACAAGCAGUGGGAGCCUCUUUAUGGGGUGACUGCGUACCUUUUGUAUAAUGGGUCAGCGACUUAUAUUCUGUAGCAAGGUUAACCGUAUAGGGGAGCCGAAGGGAAACCGAGUCUUAACUGGGCGUUAAGUUGCAGGGUAUAGACCCGAAACCCGGUGAUCUAGCCAUGGGCAGGUUGAAGGUUGGGUAACACUAACUGGAGGACCGAACCGACUAAUGUUGAAAAAUUAGCGGAUGACUUGUGGCUGGGGGUGAAAGGCCAAUCAAACCGGGAGAUAGCUGGUUCUCCCCGAAAGCUAUUUAGGUAGCGCCUCGUGAAUUCAUCUUCGGGGGUAGAGCACUGUUUCGGCUAGGGGGUCAUCCCGACUUACCAACCCGAUGCAAACUGCGAAUACCGAAGAAUGUUAUCACGGGAGACACACGGCGGGUGCUAACGUCCGUCGUGAAGAGGGAAACAACCCAGACCGCCAGCUAAGGUCCCAAAGUCAUGGUUAAGUGGGAAACGAUGUGGGAAGGCACAGACAGCCAGGAUGUUGGCUUAGAAGCAGCCAUCAUUUAAAGAAAGCGUAAUAGCUCACUGGUCGAGUCGGCCUGCGCGGAAGAUGUAACGGGGCUAAACCAUGCACCGAAGCUGCGGCAGCGACACUAUGUGUUGUUGGGUAGGGGAGCGUUCUGUAAGCCGUUGAAGGUGUGCUGUGAGGCAUGCUGGAGGUAUCAGAAGUGCGAAUGCUGACAUAAGUAACGAUAAUGCGGGUGAAAAACCCGCACGCCGGAAGACCAAGGGUUCCUGUCCAACGUUAAUCGGGGCAGGGUGAGUCGACCCCUAAGGCGAGGCCGAAAGGCGUAGUCGAUGGGAAACAGGUUAAUAUUCCUGUACUUGGUGUUACUGCGAAGGGGGGACGGAGAAGGCUAUGUUAGCCGGGCGACGGUUGUCCCGGUUUAAGCAUGUAGGCGGAGGUUCCAGGUAAAUCCGGUACCUUUUAACGCUGAGGUGUGAUGACGAGGCACUACGGUGCUGAAGUAACAAAUGCCCUGCUUCCAGGAAAAGCCUCUAAGCAUCAGGUAACACGAAAUCGUACCCCAAACCGACACAGGUGGUCAGGUAGAGAAUACCAAGGCGCUUGAGAGAACUCGGGUGAAGGAACUAGGCAAAAUGGUGCCGUAACUUCGGGAGAAGGCACGCUGAUAUGUAGGUGAAGCGGUUUACCCGUGGAGCUGAAAUCAGUCGAAGAUACCAGCUGGCUGCAACUGUUUAUUAAAAACACAGCACUGUGCAAACACGAAAGUGGACGUAUACGGUGUGACGCCUGCCCGGUGCCGGAAGGUUAAUUGAUGGGGUUAUCCGUAAGGAGAAGCUCUUGAUCGAAGCCCCGGUAAACGGCGGCCGUAACUAUAACGGUCCUAAGGUAGCGAAAUUCCUUGUCGGGUAAGUUCCGACCUGCACGAAUGGCGUAAUGAUGGCCAGGCUGUCUCCACCCGAGACUCAGUGAAAUUGAACUCGCUGUGAAGAUGCAGUGUACCCGCGGCAAGACGGAAAGACCCCGUGAACCUUUACUAUAGCUUGACACUGAACACUGGUCCUUGAUGUGUAGGAUAGGUGGGAGGCUUUGAAGUGUGGACGCCAGUCUGCAUGGAGCCAUCCUUGAAAUACCACCCUUUAAUGGCUGGUGUUCUAACGUGGACCCGUUACCCGGGUUGCGGACAGUGUCUGGUGGGUAGUUUGACUGGGGCGGUCUCCUCCUAAAGAGUAACGGAGGAGCACGAAGGUUAGCUAAUCCUGGUCGGACAUCAGGAGGUUAGUGCAAAGGCAUAAGCUAGCUUGACUGCGAGAGUGACGGCUCGAGCAGGUGCGAAAGCAGGUCUUAGUGAUCCGGUGGUUCUGAAUGGAAGGGCCAUCGCUCAACGGAUAAAAGGUACUCCGGGGAUAACAGGCUGAUACCGCCCAAGAGUUCAUAUCGACGGCGGUGUUUGGCACCUCGAUGUCGGCUCAUCACAUCCUGGGGCUGAAGUAGGUCCCAAGGGUAUGGCUGUUCGCCAUUUAAAGUGGUACGCGAGCUGGGUUUAGAACGUCGUGAGACAGUUCGGUCCCUAUCUGCCGUGGGCGCUGGAGAAUUGAGGGGGGCUGCUCCUAGUACGAGAGGACCGGAGUGGACGCAUCACUGGUGUUCGGGUUGUCAUGCCAAUGGCAUUGCCCGGUAGCUAAAUGCGGAAGAGAUAAGUGCUGAAAGCAUCUAAGCACGAAACUUGCCCCGAGAUGAGUUCUCCCUGAGACUAUAAGUCUCCUGAAGGAACGUUAAAGACGAUGACGUUGAUAGGUCGGGUGUGUAAGUGUAGCGAUACAUUGAGCUAACCGAUACUAAUGAACCGUGAGGCUUAACCUU
This 2906-nucleotide ribosomal RNA is filed under the name Citrobacter freundii. RNAcentral describes it as "23S ribosomal RNA". It matches the Rfam family "Bacterial large subunit ribosomal RNA". The record is from RNAcentral. Lineage: Bacteria; Pseudomonadati; Pseudomonadota; Gammaproteobacteria; Enterobacterales; Enterobacteriaceae.